Molecule: ribosomal RNA, 460 nt
Filed under: uncultured bacterium
Lineage: Bacteria
Description: partial 16S ribosomal RNA
Rfam family: Bacterial small subunit ribosomal RNA
Source: RNAcentral
CCUACGGGGGGCAGCAGUGAGGAAUAUUGGUCAAUGGGCGCGAGCCUGAACCAGCCAAGUCGCGUGAAGGAUGACUGCCCUACGGGUUGUAAACUUCUUUUAUAAAGGAAUAAAGUGAGGCACGUGUGCCUCUUUGUAUGUACUUUAUGAAUAAGGACAGGCUAACUCCGUGCCAGCAGCCGCGGUAAUACGGAGGUUCCGAGCGUUAUCCGGAUUUAUUGGGUUUAAAGGGAGCGUAGAUGGGUUGUUAAGUCAGUUGUGAAAGUUUGCGGGUCAACCGUAAAAUUGCAAUUGAUAAUGGCAGUCUUGAGUACAGUUGAGGUAGGCGGAAUUCGUGGUGUAGCGGUGAAAUGCUUAGAUAUCACGAAGAACUCCGAGUGCGAAGGCAGCUUACUAAACUGCCACUGACAUUGAUGCUCGAAAGUGUGGGUAUCAAACAGGAUUAGAUACCCCAGUAGUC